GAGUGAACGCUGGCGGCGUGGCUUAGGCAUGCAAGUCGAGCGCGAAAGUCUUCGGACGAGUAGAGCGGCGAAAGGGUGAGUAAUGCAUAGACAACCUACCCCAUGGACUGGGAUAACCACUGGAAACGGUGGCUAAUACCGGAUGGCCUUGCGGAGCGGCAUCGCUUUGCAAGUAAAUGGUUGCUCUCGGGCUUCUGCCGAGGGAGGGGUCUAUGUCCUAUUAGCUAGUUGGUGAGGUAACGGCUCACCAAGGCAACGAUGGGUAGCCGGACUGAGAGGUUGGUCGGCCACACUGGGACUGAGACACUGCCCAGACUCCUACGGGAGGCUGCAGUCGAGAAUCUUCCGCAAUGGACGCAAGUCUGACGGGGCGACGCCGCGUGCAGGAUGAAGGCCUUCGGGUUGUAAACUGCUGUUGCACCUUACGAACACCUGGAAGUGAACAGCUUUCCAGGGUGACCAGGGUGUGAGGAAGCACAGGCUAACUCCGUGCCAGCAGCCGCGGUAAUACGGAGUGUGCAAGCGUUACUCGGAAUCACUGGGCAUAAAGCGCGCGUAGGCGGGCUUUCAAGUCGGUCGUGAAAUCCCCCAGCUCAACUGGGGAACCGCGUCCGAUACUGUUUGUCUUGAGGACGAGAGGGGAGAGUGGAACUUCUGGUGGAGCGGUGAAAUGCGUAGAUAUCAGAAGGAACACCGGUGGCGAAGGCGACUCUCUGGCUCGUAUCUGACGCUGAGGCGCGAAAGCUUGGGUAGCAAACGGGAUUAGAUACCCCGGUAGUCCAAGCCGUAAACGAUGAGCACUAGGGAGAGGAGACCCCGAUGUCUUCUCUCCUGGAGCAAAUGUAUUAAGUGCUCCGCCUGGGGAGUACAGUCGCAAGGCCGAAACUC
RNAcentral lists this ribosomal RNA (888 nucleotides) under uncultured bacterium. Its description in RNAcentral is "bacterial SSU rRNA". It matches the Rfam family "Bacterial small subunit ribosomal RNA", at positions 27 to 902 of the family's 1533-position model. The record is from RNAcentral.